AGUGAACGCUGGCGGUAGGCCUAACACAUGCAAGUCGAACGGCAGCACAGUAAGAGCUUGCUCUUACGGGUGGCGAGUGGCGGACGGGUGAGGAAUACAUCGGAAUCUACUUUUUCGUGGGGGAUAACGUAGGGAAACUUACGCUAAUACCGCAUACGACCUACGGGUGAAAGCAGGGGAUCUUCGGACCUUGCGCGAUUGAAUGAGCCGAUGUCGGAUUAGCUAGUUGGCGGGGUAAAGGCCCACCAAGGCGACGAUCCGUAGCUGGUCUGAGAGGAUGAUCAGCCACACUGGAACUGAGACACGGUCCAGACUCCUACGGGAGGCAGCAGUGGGGAAUAUUGGACAAUGGGCGCAAGCCUGAUCCAGCCAUACCGCGUGGGUGAAGUAGGCCUUCGGGUUGUAAAGCCCCUUUGUUGGGAAAGAAAAGCAGCAGGUUAAUACCCCGCUGUUCUGACGGUACCCAAAGAAUAAGCACCGGCUAACUUCGUG
RNAcentral lists this ribosomal RNA (492 nucleotides) under uncultured bacterium. RNAcentral describes it as "partial 16S ribosomal RNA". It matches the Rfam family "Bacterial small subunit ribosomal RNA", at positions 29 to 507 of the family's 1533-position model. The record is from RNAcentral.